This 256-nucleotide ribosomal RNA is filed under the name uncultured bacterium. RNAcentral's name for it is "partial 16S ribosomal RNA". It matches the Rfam family "Bacterial small subunit ribosomal RNA", at positions 524 to 777 of the family's 1533-position model. The record is from RNAcentral.
UACGUAGGGGGCUAGCGUUGUCCGGAAUCAUUGGGCGUAAAGAGCGUGUAGGCGGCCCGGUAAGUCCGCUGUGAAAGUCGGGGGGCUCAACCCUCGAAUGCCGGUGGAUACUGUCGGGCUAGAGUGCGGAAGAGGCGAGUGGAAUUCCUGGUGUAGCGGUGGAAUGCGCAGAUAUCAGGAGGAACACCAAUAGCGAAGGCAGCUCGCUGGGACGGUACUGACGCUAAGGCGCGAAAGCUGGGGGGAGCGAACGGGG